RNAcentral lists this small nucleolar RNA (138 nucleotides) under Ornithorhynchus anatinus (platypus). Lineage: Eukaryota; Metazoa; Chordata; Mammalia; Monotremata; Ornithorhynchidae. The record is from RNAcentral.
CCCCUCUCAGGGUCAAAUCUGGAGAGUUUCCAGUACUCUACCAGUCUUGACUAUGGGAGGGAGAGUCAAGCAGAGGCAUAUCCAUUCCAUUCCUAGUUUGGGCAGUGGCUAGCGAGUGGAAGGCAAUUUGUUACAAGU